AGAGAAUAGAUACCCGGGUAGUCCACGCCCUAAACGAUGCAUAUCUGGUGUGGGCAGUUCAUUCUGUCCGUGCCGGAGCUAACGCGUUAAAUAUGCCGCCUGGGGAGUACAGUCGCAAGGCUGAAACUCAAAGGAAUUGACGGGGGCCCGGCACAAGCGGUGGAGCAUGUGGUUCAAUUCGACGCAACGCGAAGAACCUUACCUGGGCUCGAACGGCUGAUCAACGGAGGUGGAAACAUCUUUACCCCGCAAGGGGUUCAGUCGAGGUGCUGCAUGGCUGUCGUCAGCUCGUGUCGUGAGAUGUUGGGUUUAAGUCCCGCAACGAGCGCAACCCUUGUCCUGUGUUGCCAUGUCGAAAGACGGAACUCGCAGGAGACCGCCAGGGAUAACCUGGAGGAAGGUGGGGAUGACGUCAAGUCCUCAUGGCCUUUAUGUCCAGGGCUACACACGUGCUACAAUGGACGGUACAAAGCGCAGCGAACUCGCGAGAGGGGAGCC
This 498-nucleotide ribosomal RNA is filed under the name uncultured bacterium. RNAcentral's name for it is "bacterial SSU rRNA". It matches the Rfam family "Bacterial small subunit ribosomal RNA", at positions 774 to 1269 of the family's 1533-position model. The record is from RNAcentral.